Molecule: unclassified non-coding RNA, 216 nt
Filed under: Hevea brasiliensis (rubber tree)
Lineage: Eukaryota; Viridiplantae; Streptophyta; Magnoliopsida; Malpighiales; Euphorbiaceae
Source: RNAcentral
UAUAAGCUGGCAAAGGAUGGCCUUUUGUCCAAGGUGCCAAUUGUACCCAGUCAUGUGCAUUCUAUCAAUGAUUCACUAUCAGCAGAGGAGGCUGCGAACGACUAUGAGUUUGUCAUUCGACAAUUAGUGAGAACACGGACAAUCAGUGUGUCUGAUAUCAGUGACAGUCCCAAGUUUGACCUCAUCCUCCUUGGAAUGGGAGCUGAUGGUCAUGUU